UUAUCAAGGUUUUCCCUUUCAUUCCUAUUUUAGGUUUACUAUUUGUGUCUGCCUGUCGGCCCCUUUGAAGUUCCUCAAGCACAGGAACCACCGACUUCUACCUCUUACGUGUCGACGUGAUGAAGAGGCCACCCUCCGAAGGUGGAAGGCGGAGACAUGCUACGAUGCAAAGAGACGAGCAUUGGGCUCGGAGUGAACUUAGCAACAUUUAUUGCAAAACAGAAGCUUUUCUCCACUCACUUAUCAACGCAACAGAUAAAAGUUACCUACUCGA
Long non-coding RNA from Ornithorhynchus anatinus (platypus), 274 nucleotides. RefSeq lists it as uncharacterized. The transcript has 3 exons. The record is from RefSeq and is a predicted model, not a curated record. NCBI's taxonomy places the organism in Eukaryota, Metazoa, Chordata, Mammalia, Monotremata, Ornithorhynchidae.